AGAGAGAGACAUGCGCGCAUAUCAAUAAGCGGAGGAAAAGAAACUAACAAGGAUUCCCUUAGUAACGGCGAGUGAAGCGGGAAGAGCUCAAAUUUGAAAUCUUCAAGGUUUUACCUUGACGAAUUGUAGUUUAAAGAAGUGUUUUCUGCUGAAGUUUUGGUAAAAGUUCUUUGGAAUAGGACAUCAUAGAGGGUGAGAAUCCCGUAUUUGACCAUUAUUUUCAGCUUUGUGAUACACUUUCAAAGAGUCGGAUUGUUUGGGAAUGCAGUCCAAAAUGGGUGGUAAAUUUCAUCUAAAGCUAAAUAUUGGCGAGAGACCGAUAGCGAACAAGUACCGUGAGGGAAAGAUGAAAAGAACUUUGAAAAGAGAGUUAAACAGUACGUGAAAUUGUCAAAAGGGAAGCGUUUGACACCAGUGUUGUUUUCUCGAAAAUCAAUUAAAAAUGGCUCGAUUUUGUAUUGCUUGAGACCUUAAAAGCUCACUGUACAUUUUUCGUGUCUUUUUUAAUGCACUUUUCGUUUAACAAGUCAACAUCAGUUUCUUUUGUUGUAAAAGGGUCAUUGGAAGGUGGCUUUCUUUUCGGAGAAAGUGUUUAUAGCCCUUGGCCUCUGCAAUCGGAGAGACUGAGGUCUGCAGCGUAGACUCUUCGGGGUUAGAUACAUUUGUGCUAAGUUAUAGCUUUUUAUAGACAACUUGUUGACUAUAAUUAGUCUUGUAGCUUACUCGCUUAUGCUAUUUUACCUACGCUUAGGAUGUUGAGUCGUAGAGCACGCAG
This 775-nucleotide ribosomal RNA is filed under the name uncultured Neocallimastigales. Its description in RNAcentral is "partial large subunit ribosomal RNA". It matches the Rfam family "Eukaryotic large subunit ribosomal RNA", at positions 23 to 626 of the family's 3401-position model. Lineage: Eukaryota; Fungi; Neocallimastigomycota; Neocallimastigomycetes; Neocallimastigales. The record is from RNAcentral.